GCAAAGUUGUGUGAUGAAGAGCCACCGCGUAUUGAACAAAAUCGGAAGAAAAGCCCUGCAAAAUGAGUUUGACGUUUGGUAUGACGUAACGAAACGUAAACAAAACGGUACACCAGCGACGAUGCAGUGAAGUGGUUUAGUUUUAUUUUCGCUCCAUAAAAUAGAAGCCCUUUUCGCGUAUUACUCGCUUGCAAACUCUAGAACAGUGUAGCUCAGUACCGGUGUGACUUAUGUAACUAAACACGCAGCGUAUAAAGAAUCCACCCGAAAGCUGUCAAAAAGGCGCUGGUGCACGAUAAACAAAAAAUCGAACGCAAGAGAGAGCAAAAAAACGCACACACACAAUCUGCUCUGCGUCUCUGUGUGCGUGCGAGCCGUGUGUCGGGUGCGUGUAGAGCAGGGAGAACCUUCCCAACAGCAAUUGAAGGUUUGUUCGCCAACGCGCUCUGCCGUGGCCGUGUUUUGUUUGUGGUGCGCUUCAAAAUCAACAAAUUUAAGGCCGUCUAGUAACAGGUGCAGUGGUUUUUCUCGCUGCUAGGCAGUGUGCUAAGUGCGUGCGGGAAGGUGGCGAAAGAGGAAAAAACCGGGAGCUUCCGAUUUCACUUGGCCAAGCCCGACGGUGUGUGGUACGGGGUGCUUUGGUUCAUUUUCCGGCCAGUCCCGGGCCAGAGUGCGGUGUGCGGUGCAAGGUGUAGCCAGUAGCGCUAUACCUGGAGAAAGUGUCUCUUGUACCCGGCCGUGUGUGUGUGUGUGUGUGCUCAUUCGUCCGGGGUUUAGUAGUAGCAAAAGAUAACAAGAUAAAAAGUUCCGUUCCGAAAUCGUACGGUACCACCCCGACGGCCGCCCGUCGAUAGCGGGCCGCUCGAGCCCGCGUGUGUGUGGUUUUGCUUCGCUAGAUUCGUACGGGCGAAGGGAAACGUUGAUUUAAUGCGCAGUGCCGCGACCGGGUGCCGAAUUCCUCCACCAAUUUGCACCUCAAACAGUUUGUCAAACACAAGGAGGUUCGAGUAGCCCGAUAAAGUUUCCGUGGAGCAGCAGCAGCAGAAGCAGCAGUCAGUGGUCGUCUAGCAACGUCGCAGCGAGUAAGGAGUCGCCAGGAGAUAAUCGUUUCGACGACAACUCUACUGAUACGCAAACAGUCUCAAAGGAACGUUACGAUAUUUCAGCUCGAAGUUUCUUUAAAAUCUUUCCCUUUCAAUACAGCGGUUUUUUGAAGCUUUAUUUCAGCACAAAAUCCAACAGCAAAUGGCAAACAACUCUGGCCCGUAAAUGAAGAAUUUAAUAAUCCUUCCCGUUCCACAGUGCUGCGCCUUAUAACACACAAUUGUAUUAGCUCUAGCCGCGUGUCCUGCACAGAGAAAUCCCGAUUCCGGCUUUAUUAAGUUUACCUUCCCGGGCAAGAGCUGCACAUUUGGCGAACAAACGCCGCGCCCCGGCAUCUCUGCAGCGGACGGAUGCGUCCACACCAAGGGGAGUUCAUAGAAUCCAUUUAUUUAUUAAACCCUAUGCUGCUGCCUCACCAGUGUCGCCUUUUUAUUGCAUUUUGUUUGCGUAAAUGCCAAGGCUGUCCCGCCAAAGCGAGGUGAACUACGGAAGCAGGACGUCGCACAAGAUUUUCCUCCCUUUUUGCCAGGGGCGCGGAAGCGUCAUGUGUGCAAUAUGCUUACCGAGUCUUUCAUCCCGUCGUCUUAUUGGCAAGCAAGUGGCAAGAGGUCGAUCGAUCGAAUGCAUUGAAUUGCAUAAAGUCAGGCAAACAUAGCGAGAGAGACAAAGAGAGAGAGAAAGAGAGAGAGAGCAUGGCGCAAACGAGGGUGGACAGUGUGAGUGUGCGACAAAACACUUCCCUUCGUGCUUUCGAUACGGGUGGUGUGCGUUCGGGGUGUGUUGGAUGAGGCGAUUUUCAGAGGGAUUGCAUUAACGUAUUGUGCGUUUUCGAGGAGGUUUGACUGUGUUGAUUUGCGAAAAUGACUCGCCCUAGUCUCGGUCCCUAGACGAUUAAUGAGGUUCGAAC
Long non-coding RNA from Anopheles arabiensis, 2011 nucleotides. RefSeq lists it as uncharacterized. The record is from RefSeq and is a predicted model, not a curated record. Lineage: Eukaryota; Metazoa; Arthropoda; Insecta; Diptera; Culicidae. The transcript has 3 exons.